Molecule: long non-coding RNA, 764 nt
Filed under: Capsicum annuum
Lineage: Eukaryota; Viridiplantae; Streptophyta; Magnoliopsida; Solanales; Solanaceae
Description: long non-coding RNA (CANN_LNC015284)
Source: RNAcentral
CCAUAUAUAUAUGUACACAUAUAGGACACAAAUCUCUAUAACAAAAACGACAACUAUAUACAUAUAGGUAAUCAAAAAAUACAUAAUACAUAUCUUAAAUAGUAAAAAAUAUAAAUAAAUACAUAUGUUGCCCUUUAGAAUGACAUACAAAUUCAAUACUGUACAAAAAUACAUAUGAAUAUGCAUUUGUGUAUACAAAAUACAAAUACAUGCACAUGCCCCAAAAAAACUUAUACACAACCAGAUUUGUGUAUAUAUACAAAUGAGUACCCAUUAGUUGAUAAAUACAUAUACAAAUACCUUUUCGUCUUUAUAUCCUUCAAAAUCAUAUUAGAAGAGUUUCAACAUCAGGACUUAAAAUUUUGCUCGUUGUUCAAUUUUUUUUCUUUAUUUUUUCCUCAGAUCUUUGUAUUUUUUGGGGCGUUUUGGAGAUGAAAGUUUCUUCACUCCUUUUUCUUUCAUCAUUUCGGCCAUUUCGCUGGAUCAUUAUGAUGUUUCGACCUUACCUCUUCGACGCUCGCUGAUUUCUUUAAUUGUUCUACCAUUAAUGCAAACCUCCACAAUCAUACCAUAAGAAAUCACAAAAAUUUUAAAAAAAACGCAAGGACAAUGAUGAAAAAAAAAUUAUAAAAUAUAUAGAAUUUGGGAAAGAGGUAACAUACAAUAACUAUAAAAUUAAUUAUCACCUUAUUUUGUGGAGCAUGAUCUUUAUCUAUUAAGGUGAAAAAACAUGAGAAAAAGAAAAAAAUUGAAAUGAAAAUAUG